AUGUGCCUGAAUCUAAAAAACUUUUCUCACAUCAGGCAAUGGGUGUUGGAUUGAAUAUCUGAAGCCUCGGAGAUCCACUCCAUGAUAUUUGCAGUAGCUUUAUGGCACAUUUGGGACAAUAGGAAUUCUUGCCGAAAUGGUGAGGCCUUACCUCAUCCCGUGCGUGUUUCCGGACAGAAAGCUUACAUUGAUUUUAUCUUGUUGAACAAUGUCAUAUCUGAAGGCGUUAGUAGGCGUGAGGCCUUGAAGUCAGUCAAGAAAUGGACUCCGCCACCAGAGGGACUAAUGUUGAUCAACAUAGACGUUGCAAUCUUCUCCAGUACUUCAAAAGCUGGGUAUGGCGUUAUCAUGCGUAAUCAUCUAGGGGUUAUGCAGGCUGCUUGUCGAGGAUUUGUUGAUCAUGUGCAAUGUCCUGAAGUUGCUGAAGCAGUAGCCAUUCUCCAGGCGCUCAAGCUUGCCGAAAGCAUAGGAGUUCAGUCAUUUCAAAUUGCGUCUGAUUGUCUCUCACUUGUUAAUAAGCUGCAACAGCAGGGGCAGGAUAGGACUUCGACAGGUGCCAUUGUUCAUGAUAUUAAACUGAGAGCCAAAAAGUUUGUAUCAUGUACCUUUAAGUAUGUUAGUCGAGUAUGUAAUGAGGCAGCCCAUGUUCUGGCCAGGUCGGCAGAACAUGACCAUGGAUCCUCUUGGUUAGAUGAGCCUCCUGAGAUUAUCAGGGCAAUUAUCUGUACUGAACAAUUAAGGAAUGAAUGA
RNAcentral lists this ribosomal RNA (750 nucleotides) under Triticum aestivum (bread wheat). RNAcentral's name for it is "partial small subunit ribosomal RNA". The record is from RNAcentral. Lineage: Eukaryota; Viridiplantae; Streptophyta; Magnoliopsida; Poales; Poaceae.